This 253-nucleotide ribosomal RNA is filed under the name uncultured bacterium. Its description in RNAcentral is "partial 16S ribosomal RNA". It matches the Rfam family "Bacterial small subunit ribosomal RNA", at positions 524 to 776 of the family's 1533-position model. The record is from RNAcentral.
UACGGAGGGUGCAAGCGUUAAUCGGAAUUACUGGGCGUAAAGCGCACGCAGGUGGCUGAGUCAGUCGAUUGUGAAAGCCCUGGGCUUAACCUGGGAAUUGCAGUCGAUACUACUCAGCUAGAGUAUGGGAGAGGGUAGUGGAAUUCCCGGUGUAGCGGUGAAAUGCGUAGAUAUUGGGAAGAACACCGAUGGCGAAGGCAGCCAUCUGGACCGACACUGACGCUGAGGCGCGAAAGCGUGGGGAGCAAACAGG